CCUACGGGAGGCAGCAGUGGGGAAUAUUGGUCAAUGGACGAGAGUCUGAACAAGCAAAGUAGCGUGAAGGAGGACUGCCCGAUGGGUUGUAAACUUCUGUUAUAAAGGAAUAAAACGAGGCAGGUGUGCCUUUUUGCAUGUACUUUAUGAAUAAGGAUCGGCUAACUCCGUGCCAGCAGCCGCGGUAAUACGGAGGAUCCGAGCGUUAUCCGGAUUUAUUGGGUUUAAAGGGAGCGUAGGUGGGUUGUUAAGUCAGUUGUGAAAGUUUGCGGCUACACCGUAAAAUUGCAAUUGAUACUGGCAGUCUUUAGUACAGUUGCGGUAAGCGGAAUUCGUGGUGUAGCGGU
This 347-nucleotide ribosomal RNA is filed under the name uncultured bacterium. RNAcentral describes it as "partial 16S ribosomal RNA". It matches the Rfam family "Bacterial small subunit ribosomal RNA", at positions 338 to 682 of the family's 1533-position model. The record is from RNAcentral.